Rhododendron vialii is the source of this 553-nucleotide long non-coding RNA. RefSeq lists it as uncharacterized. NCBI's taxonomy places the organism in Eukaryota, Viridiplantae, Streptophyta, Magnoliopsida, Ericales, Ericaceae. The record is from RefSeq and is a predicted model, not a curated record. The transcript has 2 exons.
UUAUUAUUUUUUGUCAAUGUUCAAUCAAUCAAACAAUAAACGGGAUUCGACAUGCACACUCAUUGCGUGUGCCCGGCCCAUAGUCGUAUAACAAAACUGAAAACAUGGCUAAUGAGGUCAUCCUUUUGGUGUCCCAUUGGAUGACUAUUUGAUUCAUUCUAUAAUCAAAGACGGAAACAGACACAUAUUUCAUGCAAAUCCAAGAUGAGAGACUUAGUUUGUGUAUUUACAAAAUUUUAAUUUCCUGCCCUGCUUUUUAUUUCUUAUAUUAAUGAUGUGUCAAAAUGGUGGUGUGGUUGUGUCUUAAUAAUUGAAUAACUCAAGGCCAGGGCGAUGCCUGUCCAAACGUGCUUUCAACGGUCUGAAUUUAAAAUAAAACUUUCCCAUAAAACACUUUUGAACUACUGUGAUCUGCACUACACGCUCUAGGUGCAUCUAUAGGGUUUCCAAACUAGCAAUUGAAAACAAAAGGCAAAGAGAGAAGAUGAGAUACCUUGCAGUAGGAGACUGUGUGGCAGUAUAGCCUCUUACAACUUUCUUUGAUUUGUCGCUA